Molecule: ribosomal RNA, 450 nt
Filed under: uncultured bacterium
Lineage: Bacteria
Description: partial 16S ribosomal RNA
Rfam family: Bacterial small subunit ribosomal RNA
Source: RNAcentral
GUGGGGAAUAUUGGACAAUGGGCGAAAGCCUGAUCCAGCCAUGCCGCGUGUGUGAAGAAGGUCUUCGGAUUGUAAAGCACUUUAAGUUGGGAGGAAGGGCAGUAAGUUAAUACCUUGCUGUUUUGACGUUACCAACAGAAUAAGCACCGGCUAACUUCGUGCCAGCAGCCGCGGUAAUACGAAGGGUGCAAGCGUUAAUCGGAAUUACUGGGCGUAAAGCGCGCGUAGGUGGUUCAGCAAGUUGAAGGUGAAAUCCCCGGGCUCAACCUGCGAACUGCCUCCCAAACUACUGAGCUAGAGUACGGUAGAGGGUAGUGGAAUUUCCUGUGUAGCGGUGAAAUGCGUAGAUAUAGGAAGGAACACCAGUGGCGAAGGCGACUACCUGGACUGAUACUGACACUGAGGUGCGAAAGCGUGGGGAGCAAACAGGAUUAGAUACCCGAGUAGUCC